Molecule: ribosomal RNA, 230 nt
Filed under: Serratia marcescens
Lineage: Bacteria; Pseudomonadati; Pseudomonadota; Gammaproteobacteria; Enterobacterales; Yersiniaceae
Description: partial 23S ribosomal RNA
Rfam family: Bacterial large subunit ribosomal RNA
Source: RNAcentral
GGGUUGUGAGGUUAAGUGACUAAGCGUACACGGUGGAUGCCUAGGCAGUCAGAGGCGAUGAAGGGCGUGCUAAUCUGCGAAAAGCGUCGGUAAGGUGAUAUGAACCGUUAUAACCGGCGAUACCCGAAUGGGGAAACCCAGUGUGUUUCGACACACUAUCAUGUCAUGAAUACAUAGUGGCAUGAGGCGAACCGGGGGAACUGAAACAUCUAAGUACCCCGAGGAAAAGA